Molecule: ribosomal RNA, 505 nt
Filed under: uncultured bacterium
Lineage: Bacteria
Description: bacterial SSU rRNA
Rfam family: Bacterial small subunit ribosomal RNA
Source: RNAcentral
CUGGCUCAGGAUGAACGCUAGCGGCAGGCUUAACACAUGCAAGUCGAGGGGCAUCGGGAGUAGCAAUACUUGCCGGCGACCGGCGCAAGGGUGCGUAACGCGUGAGCAACAUGCCCGUAUCAGGGGGAUAAUCCAUGGAAACGUGGUCUAAUACCCCAUAGUAAUUAUGUAAGGCAUCUUAUAUAAUUUAAAGCUUUGGUGGAUACGGAUUGGCUCGCGUGACAUUAGCUAGAUGGUAAGGUAACGGCUUACCAUGGCUACGAUGUCUAGGGGUUCUGAGAGGAAGGUCCCCCACACUGGAACUGAGACACGGUCCAGACUCCUACGGGAGGCAGCAGUGAGGAAUAUUGGACAAUGGAUGGAAAUCUGAUCCAGCCAUGCCGCGUGCAAGGAAGACGGCCCUAUGGGUUGUAAACUGCUUUUGUAUGGGAGCAAUAAGGGCUACGCGUAGUCCGAUGAGAGUACCAUACGAAUAAGCACCGGCUAACUCCGUGCCAGCAGCCGC